RNAcentral lists this long non-coding RNA (11450 nucleotides) under Olea europaea subsp. europaea. Lineage: Eukaryota; Viridiplantae; Streptophyta; Magnoliopsida; Lamiales; Oleaceae. The record is from RNAcentral.
CAUUUCUCCACGCAAUCCCCAUUUUGUGUAGACUCCUCUUAUUUUCUCUUUUGUAUCUCUUUCUCUCCCAUGACUUUCCCUGCACUAAUUUCGCCAAAAAAAUUGAAAUUGUUGCCGCCUUCCGCGAACAUUAACCAGCGAAGAAGAACGAAACCACACAAGUUCUCUCUACAAAGGUAAAUUCGUCGCUGUGUUGUCAAAUUUUACUUAUUUUUUCCUCUCUUCGUUUGUUACACUGUCUGCAGAGGAAUAACUAAUACUUCCCUUUUUUUUCAUUUAUUUUCUGGUUUUGAGUUUGUUGAAUUGGGUGAUCUAGGAAACAAUGGGAACUAAUUGUAAUUUGGGUGUAGUUUUGUGAAGUGUUGAUGACUGAAUUAUCCAUUUAUUCAAUGAUUCAAAAGUGACACACUGUAAGUGUUAUGCCCUAAGUCCAAUCAAUAUUGGAUAUAAAUACUUUUGAUAUAUAAUUAAUGCAAUUUAAUGACAGAUCUAUUAUUUAAUUAAUAAACAAUUAAAUUAAAUAAUAGAGUCUGUAAAUUCAAAUUUUCGUAAUUUGUUAAUCACAAGGAGUUAUGAUUUUGAAAUACAAAUUACAUAUGAUUGAAUUUUAAAUCGUCCUUGGUCGUAAGUAAUAACGAGAUACAGAUAUCGUUAUUACUGAUAGACCAUCACGUGUGACAUUUCUUAUAUGUGAAGUAAGUAGCUGAUCUCACAAGCUAAAGUGUGGUGACAUUUAAAUGAACACGUUGAUAUUUUGUUAUAGAACAAAAUAUUGGAGACCCGUCGAGAGAUUCUAUAUGGAUAACUAUUUGAGUGUCAGUGGUUAAUUUCUACUGUUCGGUAGUGAAAUUGGUCCUUUGAUUUGAGGUUGUCAUGGUACCUUAUAUGAGGGCAGUCAUACUUUGACGGUGUUGGAUGUUGCUCUGCAAAGGGCCACUAAUACGACAUCAUUCGGAUACGUCAAGAAUCGUAGGAAAGUUGUGAUUGACCAAUAAAGUACAAUAAUUUAUUUUUAGCUUAUCUAUCAUAUUAAUUGACAAAUGGGAGUAAAAAAUCAACGGGGGAGAAAACUAGCAUCGUUGAUGGAUGUAAUUAAAGAUAAACUCAGAGACGAAGGGAGAGGGGGGCUGGGGUGGGCUAUAGCUGGCUGGCGUGGGCUGUAGCCCAGCCCCAGCCCAAUAGCUAAUUGACUUGUAAAAAAUGGAAAAUUUAGUCCAAAUUAUUGGUGAAAUAAAGAAGAAUAAAAAUUUAGCCCAAUCCAUAAAUUAAUUUUUAGCACAAUUAACUUUAUUCCCAACCCAAAUCCAAUGUUCAAUUAUUUAAAUUUAAAUAGUUCAUUUAUAAUCAAAUUAAUUUAUUAUAUUAGAAAUAAUUUUUAUUGAUUAAAGUAAAGAUAAAUAACUUAUUGUAGCAUGUCACAUGUUUGACUAAGUUUAAAAGUAAUUAAUUUUUUCUAACGUAUAUAUUGCUUAUUUAUACUUGUGAGUUAAAAAUUUAUUUAUUUUGACCAUGAAAUGGAAAUAUGCUUUAUAUUUACUUUUAUCAUUUAAAAAUAUAUUUGUUAGAAUUUUGUCAUAAAUGUUUAAAAAUAUAUCUUGAUCCAUUUUGUCAUUAGCGUGAAGAGUGUAACCUUUUAAACUAAGUCUCGAGUAGCAAAGAGCAUUUAUGAAAAAAAUUCAAUUUUCAGCCCACCCUAACAUAUCUUCCUGGCUCCGCCCUUGGAUAAACUUCAACAAGUUGAGCAGUUUUCUUGGAAGUUUCUUUCUUCAUGCACCAGAAUUUUUUAUUUAUCUAAAUUUCUGGCACCGGAUUGGUAUAUCAUUAUUAAUUUGUUUGUGGGGAAUCUGGGAUAAAACAAAGACAUCGUGUAAUUAAACAAUAAUCAUAGGAACAAAGAAAUAGUUUCACUUUCAUUCACGAAAUUGAAUGUUCUCGAAUCGUUUUGAGCCAUUUGGGGAAAAAAAAACGAAAUUGAACAAAGAGAAGGCCAAAAAGGACUAAAGGAGUGGUUUGUUAGUGUCUUUCUAAAUAACGGUUGGAGAAAAAAUGGAACAUUUAUUGGUUGGUUGAACUUCGAAUUUAUUUAUUUAUUUAUUUUUAUUCUUUCUUUUAGCUUUCAUCACAAAAUUAUGUUAUCGUUAGAACGAUUUUUGAAUGGGCAAUUAUGAUUGGUUACUUAUAUUGACUUAAUAGUGGAGUGAAAGAUAUGAUCGAUAAUCGAGAUUGACACAUUUUCAUAUCUCGUAAUUGAUCGGAUCGUAUUGACGAAGGGAUUAUAAUUUCACGGUAAACGAACGAAUUUGGUUUUGUCAUACCACGUGACAUUUCUCGUCAUAUGUAUUGCCCUGACACAUUGCUUGAUGUCAAUUUGAGACGGCGAGUGUAAAUUAGUGAUAAAUUAAAAGGGUGUUUUAAUUUAUCAAUUUUGAUUAGAUCAAAAUAAUAUUCCACGUCAUUAGGCAUAGUGAUCGGAAACCUGAUAGGUUGCACACAAAAAGAGAAUUUAAAGAUUGUAAUUUAUCAAUUAAUUAGUUUAACAAGCGUUGAAUAAAUUAAUUAAUUGGGUUGCAUAUUUAUAGGUCCGAAUUAAUUAAUUGGAUUAAUUAGUUCACGGAUCGGAUUUAAUUAAAUGUUGGAUCGGAUUAGGCCAAGCCCGUUCGGGCUUAUAUAAAUAUAAUUAGGAUUUUCAAAAUUGUAGAGAUUUUCAUUAUUCUUGCUAGUACAAGAAGAAAACCCUAAUGCUGCAAUCUUGUUCUCUGUGUGGAUCACCAUUGGAGGUUGGACAAUUGAACAGCUGUAGGAGACAGAUCCAAGUUGUUGGAACAAAGAUAUGGCAAAGGAGUUUGCAGAUCUUGUAAAGGUAUAUCUUUAUCACAAUUUCUAUCUAAAUACAAAGACGAUUCUUGAUGGGAAUCGAAAUUUGUUUUAAUUUUUCGUUGCGCAUGUUAAGUAGAUUCCCAACAAUGGUAUCAGAGCCUACUUUGUGUUUGUUAGAAAUUGAUUAACAUCUUUGUACAACCAAAUGUUGAUUGUUAUGUUUUUUUCUAAUUUCUAGUAAUUAAAUGAAUUUAAUUCUCAUGUUUUGAAAUCUGAUUUCGAGAAAAAAAAUGUUGGAUCCAAGGUGGGCGAUGGUUACCGGCAGGCGCUGUUUCGCGUUGGCAGCCGCAGGCGCAACAGCGCCUGCAAGCGCUACCAACAGCGACUAUGAGUUGCAUCAGCAGCGCGAAGGUGCUGUUGGUUGCAACAUGACCCAUCGCUUGUCUUGCUAUCCCGUGGGGCGGCGCCUUACCGAGAAAGAAAUUAAAAAAAUAUAUAAAUUCUAGGGUUUUCAGAUUUGGGUGAUGGAGACGGGGGCUUCCCUUGAAAUUUAUGAAAUUAUGGGGACCCGUCUGCAAUUAAAGGAAAAGGGGUCAAUUUGCAAUUUUAAAUGGAGAGCAUUUCUGCAAUUUACGAAUAUGGAAGCCCCUAUUAUUAAUUUUUCCAAUUAGGUCAAAUUUACAAUUUUCAAAAAGUGUUUUGAAUUUGAUUUCAAAAUUAUAUUUUAAAUGGGUUUGACCCAUAAUUUUAAUUUUGACCCAGAUUUAAAAUUUUAUUUAAAGUUGACGAACUUUUAUAUUUUCGUUAAAAUUGAAUUUUAACUUAAAUAUUAAAAUUUGACCCCAAUUGAAUUUUAUUUUAUUUAAGAGUGUUAUCAUAGUUUAAAAUAUUGAUUCAAUUUAAAUUAGAAUUGGACUCUAAUUUAGGACUUAAUCAAAAUUCGAUUUUAAUUAAUUUUUCACCCGAAGAUAUUUUAGAAAUUAGAAUUGGAUUCUAAUUUGACGUUUAAUUAAAAUUUGAUUUUAGUUAAAUUGUUUCGCCCUAAACUUUUCUUUAAAUUAGAGUUAGACUCUAAUUUGGUGUUUAAUUAAAAUUUGAUUUUAAUUAAACAGGUUCGCCCUAAAAAUCUUAGAAUUAGAGUUGAACUCUAAUUUGGUAUUUAAUUGAAAUAUGAUUCUGAUUAAAUAAAUUCGCCUUUAAAUUUUAGAAUUAGAGUUAGACUCUAAUUUUGUUAUUUAAUUAAAAUUGGAUUUUUAUUGAAUAUAGCCGCUUAUUUAUUAAUUGAUUAAUAUGAUUAAUUAUUUAUUUAAUUAUUACGAUCCAUUUGUCAAAAAGAGUUUAGGCGAUUUUAAUUGCUAGAAACUUGAAACGUGUUAGCAUAUAAUAUUAGAUAUUACAUAUGCAUACAUUUAUGUGAUGAAUGUAUUAUUAGUGGACGAUUAUGGACUCGACCAUAUGGAUGUGUUGAAUGGUUAAUUUUUAUAUUUGUCAUUUUGUGGGAUUGCGAGCUCUUAAUUAAUUUUGGGUCUGCAAACCCGUUAUUAUUGUUAUUAUUAUGAGUCUGCGAGCUCUUAAUCAUUUUGGACCUGCGAGUCCGUUAUUGUUAUUGUUGCUAUGGGCUUGCGAGUCCAAUUUCAUUUAGGCUGCGUGCCAACUAGUAUAAGAUACAAGUUGCAACUAGACCAAUUGAAGAAACAAGAAGAGGAGGAGGCCAUGGAGAUGGUUCAUUGAUAUUGAUCAAUGUAAUACCCCUAGGAAUUGGCCAAUUAGUCUUCCUUAUGACUCAGGAAGACUAGAUAGUAAAAUCUAUAAUCGUCCACACUAUUACAUUAUAUUAUAUAUAUGUUUAUUUGCAUGGUAGAUAUGUAAUAUAACAUAUAUGAUUGUUACGAUGAGACUUUUGAAUGCAAAACCUCUCAAUAAAAUAUUAAGUCACAUUUAUAAUUGCCUUCUAUUGUUAUAGUGAAAAAUCAGAGUCCCAAAUCGUCUCAACUUGUUGAGUACACUCAAGGCUGGUCUAUUAGGGAUAUGUUUGACGCUAUGAAAUAUUGGAUAUUUCUGAAUGAUGGGUUCGACUUAAAUAAAAUUUAUCUUUUGUCGAGUACAUUCAAGAAGAUAAAUUUUAGAGGCAUAUUAAGCUAACACAUAAGAUGUGUAAUGACAAAGAGUUGUCAGCUUAACGAUUUGGAAGUUGUAUGGAGAUGCAAUUGAUAAUAGUAUCUAUCCAAAUGUUUUAUUAAGGUUUGUUGAGUACACUCAAAAUCUUGAUAUAACAGAUGGGAUCCCGGCCCACUGGGAGUCAAGUAUGGACUCCAUAAAUUUAUGUGAAGGGGUCAUAAAUUUGAAUUAAAUAGUGGGAGCAUAAUUAAUUUAAUAAAAGUUCGUGUUAAAUUAAUUGAUACAUUUAUAUAUUAUUUUUUCCCUUUUUCGUCAUUUAUACUUAUUGAAUCGUAAGUAACCAUAUGUAUUUGAGAGGCAUACUGGAUGCCAACAACCAAAUUAAAUAUUUUUAAUCGGCACUGCAAUUUGAGAAUUGUUCUCAGGCAUGAGAAAGUUGAUUGUCCUUAAGUAGUCACUUUCCAGAAACACCUAGUGAUGACUCAACUAAGGAAAAUGUGGCUACUAUAAUAAGCACAGUGAUGAGAUAGUAUUGCACGCAUGUGAUGCCUGCAAUUAUGUCACCUGAGUUACAAAAACAACUUGAGAGUAUAGAUGUUAACACAUAAUUCUUCAUUACAAAGAAUUGUAUGAUAAUAAUCAUGUGUGGAAGGAUAUAAGACUUCCAAACAACUAUACCGAUACAAAGUAACAAAAGAAUUUUCAGUCAAUCCUCAUGUACUGAAGAUGAUUGACAUGAGAAGUGUCUCAAUUGAGUUCAAUCAUUAACUAUGAACUAAGUAUUAACUUAGCUUUACAAUCUCGAUCAUAGAGUUAUUCAUACUAAUUAUGAAUUAUGAUAUGAAUAAACUCGAAUGCAUACUCAUUAAGUUGCUUGACAUGUUUAGGACUAUUGAGCCCGAUAUCAAAGUUGGUAGUGGGCAAACCAUUGAUUUCUCUAGGGGUGUUAAGAUGAAAUCUAAAGGGGCUUUGAAAAAGCAUCCAUUAUGGUUAAAACAGCCUAAGUGAAGGACAAUAUCAAAUCUAAUGACCUUUGAUUUCAUUAUAGAAUGAAAGGUCAUUGGAAGAUAUUGCAUGGCUUACGUCUACUUCACGAGCUUCUUAAGUAUUUGAUACCAGAUGUAGAUCUCAUAUUUAUACAAAUAUGGAGAAACUAAAUAGAAGUAGACCAUUUUGAAAGGGAGAAGUUGACCUACACGUUGAAAAUGAGCAAAGGUUGUUGCAUUGCCUAUAGGAGCAUACCUCUUACCAUUGCCUUUUGGUUUAGUAUUGGAAUUAGAAAAAUAUUGCUUUGUACCUACCAUAGCUGAAACAUUAAAAUGAAUUUCAUGUUCGGACAUGAACUAUUUUAAUGUUAAAGACAAUUGUUGUUCUUGUUUAUCUUAAUAAAGAUUCUAAUGGUUAUGGUAAAUUACAAAACGACAUUUAUAUUCUUUAAUAUUAAGGAUUCUAUAACAAGUAUAGAAAUUAUAAGGUAUAAAUGCGAUAAUCUAAUAAUUACCUAAAUCUGGCAUGGCAGACUUUGUCAUAUAGAUGAAAUGCAAUAUUACAUAGAGAUAUGUAUGUGGGGUCAAUUGAUUUUUGAAUCAUUUGACAAGUGCAUAUCAUGCCUAUUAGACACAAUGACCAAAUCUCCUUUUAUUUGAAAGGGAGAAAUGUCUGCAUAAAUAUUUGCAUAAUACAUAGUGAUGUAUAUGGACCUAUAUCAAUUAAUGUCAGAUGAGAUUUCUCUUAUGUCAUCAAUUAUCAUGUAUACUUGAUGAAAUUCAAGCAUGAAGUUCUUGAAAUGUUCAAAGGAUUCAAGCUAGAAGUAGAGAAAUAUAGAGGUAAAGAUACCCUCACAUUAAGAUUCGAUCAAAGUGAGAGUAUUUUAAAGAUAAAAUUUAGAUUAUCUAAGAGAGAAUGAGAUUCUCUUGCAGUGAACUCCUCCAUAUACACUGCAGCAUAGUAAUGUAUCUAAAAAGAGAAAUCGUUAUCUAUUAGAUAUAGUGCGAUUAAUAAAAAGUCAUGCAAAUCUCCCAAAAUCGUUUUUGAGGUCAUGCACUGAUUGCAAUGUAUUACACACUAAAUCAUGUUAUAUCUAAGUUGGUUAACACAAUUCCAUACGAUCUAUGGAAAGGCAAUAGUCCCAAUUUAUCACAUAUGAAAGUUUGGGACUAUGACGCUUAUUUGAAGCACAUUGAAUCGAAUAAGUUUGAGACUUUAGAACCGAACCGAACCAAAAUUUUCGAGUAUCUAGUAAAUGGAACCGUCGGGUCCAAAUAUAAUUAUGGAACCGUUCGGGUUCGGUUCGGUUCGGUUCGGUUCUGUACUAUAAUUAAAUUUUUUAACAUUUAUAACAACAUUAUAUAAAUACAACUAAUGAUACAUUCAAUGGUUUUGGAAUGCCAGAGACUAAUAGACUAUCUUAUUCAAAUGAUCGCUAUAAUCAAAGUUUCGAUCGACGGAGGUCACAGCUUCGAUUGGAGGUCACAAUGUCGGUCGACGAUUGUAUAUGUUUUGGAAUAUUAGCGAGACUGCGAGAGUCGAGACAACGUUAUACACUUUAGUGUAGGUGUUUAGUGUUAUUUAGUGGAUUGGAUCUUGUUGGGCUAAGAAAUGAAACAAUAAAAUGGGUAAUUGGGCCAAAAAUUUGGAUUUAGAAAUUGUUAAUUUGUUUAGAAAAAGUUAAAAUUAAAAUAAUUUGAUUUACUCAAAUAAAAAAAAAUUAGAAAGAUUUGGUUCUUAUUCAGUUCUUCGGUUCUUGGUCUAGAACUGAGAAUCGAACCGUACCCGUCGGUUCUCAAUUCAAAUCCCCGUUCGGGUAUUUAAUUUAACAAGAACCGUCGGGUUCGGUUCAGUUCGGUUCGGGUUCGGUUCGAUUCGGGAGAUUUGCCCAACCCUAACAGUGGGAGCAAAAUAGAACUUGAAAGAGUUUAAGAGUCUACAAAUAUAGUUAACCAAGUAGAUGAAUUCAAGUUUAAUCCCAUGUCUGAUGUGGAACAUACUCUUGAUCAGGAAGUAAAAACUCCUGAGGACAUGUUAGCUCUAUGUGGGAUCAUUCGACGUUCAAGAAGGUGUGAAUCCAUGAUUAUUAAUCAGGUAUUACUGAUCCAGGAUGAUGAACCUACUAGUUACACAAAAAUAAAGUCACGUGUUGACUUAAAAGAGACAGCAAGAGGCCAUGAAACUCAAGAUAAACUCGGCGUAUGUGAACAAGGUUUGGACCUUGGUCGACCCUUCUGAUGGGAUAAAACCCAUAGGUUAUAAAUGGUUUAUAAGGAAAAGGUCGAGAUGAAUGGGGAUAUCCGUACAUACAAAGCAAGGCUAAAAGGUUAAGUGUUGACAUUGACGAAACCUUUCGCCUGUAGCCAUGCCAAAGUUCAUUCGAAUUUUGAUUGCAUUAGUUGCAUGCCGUGACUAUGGGUUAAAACAAGUCUCUUGGAACUGAAAUUUUCGAUUCGAUGAAAAAAUUAAAAUGUUUGAUUUUAUCAAAUAUGAAGACGAAUUGUGUGUUUACAAGAAGAUAGUGGGAGCGUUGUCGCAUUCCUAAUAUUAUAGGAAACAUCAUCCUUAUAUUUCAAUCGUUAAAAUAAUGGUUGUUAAAUGAUUUAUUCAUUAAAAUAUGGGACAAGCAACUUGAUCUAUAGAGAUAGAUAUAGAAGAUUGCUUAACUCAUCCCAAUCCACAUAGAUAAAAUCUUUAGAAGAGUUUAUAUGGGGAAAUUGGUUUGCUCUUAAGCGGUAUGUUGGAAAAGUUCCAAACGUGAAACAAUCGUUGGUUCAAUAGUAGAAAGCUAAUAUAUGAUUGUUUUAGAAGCAGCAAAGAGUUACAAUGUGGAUCAAAAUAUUCAUUAAUGAACUUAGAGUAGUUUCUAAUAUUGUUGAUCACAUGCCAUUGUGUUGUGAUAACAAUAGAACCACAGCGAAAGCGAAGGAACUGAUGUCUCAUCAAUGAUCCAAACAUGUAUUAAGGCGGUAUAAUCUCAUCAGAGAGAUAAUACAUAGAAAUGACCAAAGAAGAGAACGAAUUUCCACAUUUGACAAUAUAGUAGAUCCACUGACAAAGAGUUGUCGUAGCAUAAAUAUAAUCUUCAUGUAGACUCUUAUGAUAUUGGAUGCAUAAGUGAUUGGAUCUAGUGCAAGUGGGAGUUUGUAAGUGUUAUGCCCUAGGUCCAAUCAACCUUGGAAUAAAUACUUUUGAUAUAUAAUUAAUGCAAUUUAAUAGUAGAUUUAUUAUUUAAUUAAUAAACAAUUAAAUUAAAUAAUAGAGUCCGUAAAUUCAAAUUUUCGUAAUUGUUAAUCACAAAGAGUUGUGAUUGUUAGAUACAAAUUACAUAUGAUUGAAUCUUAAAUCGUCCGUGGUCGUAAGUAAUGACGAGAUACGGACAUCGUUAUUACGGAUAAACCAUCACAUGUGGCAUUUCUUACUUGUGAAGUAAGUAGCCGAUCUCACAAGUUAAAGUGUGGUGACAUUUAAAUGAACACGUGGAGGUUUUGUUAUAAAACAAAACAUUGGAGACCGGCCAAGAGAUUCUACAUGGAUAACUAUCUGAGUGUCAGUGGUUAAUCUCUAUCAUUCGAUAGUGAAAUUGAUCAUUUGACUUGAGGUCGUCAUGGUACCUUAUAUGAGGACAGUCAUACUUUGAUAAUGUUGGAUGUUGCUUUGCAAAGGGCAGCUAAUAUGACAUUGUUCGGGUACGUCAAGAAUCGUAUGAAGGUUGUGAUUGACCAAUAAAGGAUUCGUCACUCUUAGAUAGUAGGAGAUUAUGAUCUGCGUUCAUUCAAUUAAGUCGAUGAUGAAAUCCUUGGUCAAGGUGUACUCAUAAGUCAAAAAGAAGUUUUCGACUUAUAUUGACUUAAUAGUGGAGUGAAAGAUAUUAUCGAUAAUCGAGAUUGACACAUUUUCAUAUCUCAUAAUUGAUCAGAUCAUAUUGACAAAGGGAUUAUAGUUUCACGGUAAACGAACGAGUUUAGUUUUGUCAUACCAUAUGACAUUUUUCGUCAUAUGUAUUGACCUGACACAUUGUUAGAUGUCAAUCUGGAAAGGCAAGUGUAAAUUGGUAAUAAAUUAAAAUGGGUGUUUUAAUUUAUCAUUUUGAUUAGAUCAAAAUAAUAUUUCACGUCGUUAGGCAUAGUGAUCGGGAACCUGAUGGGUCGCACACAAAAGGAGAAUUGAAAUGUUAUAAUUUAUCAAUUAAUUAAUUUAACAAGCGUUGGAUAAAUUAAUUAAUUGGGUUGCUAUUUAUAGGUCCGAAUUAAUUAAUUAGAUUAAUUAUUUCAUGGACCGAAUUUAAUUAAAUGUUGGACCGGAUCAGGCCAAGCCCGUUCGGGCAUAUAUAGAUAUGAUUAGGGUUUUCAAAAUUGUAGAGAUUUUCAUCAUUCUUGCUAGCACAAGAAGAAAACCCUAAUGCUGCAAUCUUGUUCUCUGUGUAGAUCACCGUUGGAGGUUGGACAAUUGGAUAGCUGUGGAAGACAGAUCCAAGUUGCUGGAAUAAAGAUAUGACAAAGUAGUUUGCAGAUCUUGUAAAGGUACAUUUUUAUCACAAUUUCUAUCUAAAUACAAAGGCGAUUCUUGGUGGGAAUCGUAAUCUAUUUUAAUUUUCCAUUACGCAUAUUAAGUAGAUUCCCAAUAGGUUCCACAAGUUAACUUUCCGGAGGUACACUCUAAAUUCAAUAAUAGCCUUAUUAUUUAGGUUUAAUUCUUAACUCUGGUUUCUUUUACAUUUAAUUUUUUAUAGCUUUUUUUGUAGUAAAUUAUAGAAGCUUGAAAUUUAAAAGUCCGUUUUCUGUAAAAUUAGAAUUAAGGGGUUCUAAAAGACCCUAGUUGAUUUCACUACAAUCAGCUGUGAGUGAUCAUUUAAGUAUUGAUGCAUCAAAAUCCCAAAAGACUAUUCCCAAGGUCACUAUUUUUUUUUCUUUAUUCAGUUUGGUGUUGUAGUGUUUGUUAGCGUGGUUAUAAGUAAUUAUUGUAUUAUGCAUGAUGGGUUUUCCUUGAAUUAUAGGACAUUGUUAAGGAAAGUGAGUUUCUUGGGUUAUUUGACAAGGAGAGAAGGGAAGAUUAUCUAGUAAAUACUGUUUAGGUUUGGCACUAAUUUUUUAAGUUUGCUUUUCUGGUGUAUUGUCUACAUUGGUGAAUGAUUUAACACUUCUUCUCUCAUUUAGGUCAUACCUUACAUUAUCGAUGCCAUGCAAGAGUGGAUUGAAUGUGUAGUGCUUGUACCGGUGGAUGGAAAUGAGGGUCCAUCUAAUGUUUGUGUCAUAGAAUUGGGUGGCACUAUUAGUAUGAAAGGUGUUUCACUUGUAUUAGAAUAAACUGUUUUUAACGUUGGUUUAUUCUAAAAAUAUCUUUCAUUAUGCACAGGGACGGAGCUAGGAAAUUUCUUCAUGCGGGCGCAAUUUAAUCGAUGUCAAACUUUGAAUUUUCGGUCAUGGAUUUAAUUACGAAAAAAUAUAAAACAAUAUCAAGAAAGUACUAAAAAUGACAGAGUUCAUAAGUUACAAUUAUUCCUUACGAAUUUUCAUACUUUAAUAUCG